This is a long non-coding RNA of Brassica napus (rape), 3582 nucleotides long. RefSeq lists it as uncharacterized. Lineage: Eukaryota; Viridiplantae; Streptophyta; Magnoliopsida; Brassicales; Brassicaceae. The transcript has 10 exons. The record is from RefSeq and is a predicted model, not a curated record.
AAGCCCGGUGGCCCAUUAUCAUCAACCCUAAUUGCGUAGACGGGAGAAAUCUAGCUUCGGGUUUCGUGCUCCUCUUCGUUACACGGCGGCACCUGUUCUGCUUCUCCGAACUCUGAAACGGCUCGAGUUAUGGUUUUAUAAAUAUGUCAGUACUUCUCCUCCUCAAAUCAUAUGUUUCUCCUAUUUUAGUAUACAUAUUCACGGUGAUAUGUCUAAAUCGAUGAUGUUUUGGUUCGAUUUGAAGUCCGGCGACCAUAACGCAGGCCACCAUUAAUGCUAACCGGCGUCCAACAUUCCGACCUAGACUCACGGCCGGUUCGAUGUGUUUCGAUGUGUUCAACAGCCGGUACUAUGAUAGGGUUCGUGUUUUACAAAAAUGUUAAUAAAUCUGUAACUGUCGAAUAAAUACACAUCAGCAAUCACUAUUAUGUUGAUAAUCAGAGCCAUUGUAGCUAAACCUUUCAUUGCAGUACCCUUAGAUCUGUGAGAAAUGCUCUGAGUAAUGGUGAACAAAACAGAUAGAAGAGUUCGAGGAUCUAGGUCCAGCGAGUUGAGUAGUAACACAGAAAAAAGUUUGGGCGCUGACAGAACACACCAAACGUUCACGUUGACACGAGAGUCUCGAGCUCCGGUGAUCAUACCGACAUUGCAUCACAAUUAUCUCACGUGAGGUCCCGAUCAUUAAGAGGAAAUCAUAUGGCACAAACAUGAUUCUUAUCAUGCCCACGAGCAUGCGAGCUCAAAGAACUUGGAAAGAGAUGCACGAAAUGUUUUUACUAUAAGGAGAUUGAGAAGUUUUUGGAGUUGGUGUACCGUGGCUAGGAUCCGCCGAAGCUUUACGUUCUUAUUUUUUUCCGUUAUCACUCACGUUUCAUUACGUUCAGUUUCCUUUUAGUUUUUUUUUUUUGAAUUUUCUGCUAUCUCUCCUUAUAUAAUCUAAUGAUUUCAACUCCCGUUUUAGUCUGAAAACUUUUAUUUAAAAAUAAAAACCAUAUACGAAAAACAUGAGAGGGUUGAGAAUUGACGUCGAACGUACAUAUAUAUCUUGCGAAGCACUUAUAUAUAAAUACAAUUCAGAACCGAAUAAACCACCUCAUAUAAUAAUGGCGUGAGGCUUCUAAGAAUUCAAAAGAUUUAGGGCUGAUAUGUUGUGCCUCGAUAGUUGAAUUAAUAGUUACUGUAUUUGUGGUUUCAUGCUUCUAAAAUAUAUUAUCUUUAAAUAUUAAAAAAAUGGAAAAUGACACAGUUUGUAAAUAUCAUCUGAAGCUUCUACAUUCUGUUAUUCUAUAAUAAUUUUGAAAAUUAUAAUGCAGCCAUUAAUACGCAUUUCAGCAGCUGGAAUAUUAGCUACUGUAUAGGUUCUAACAGAACAAUGCGUUCAUCCCACCAGCCUAUAAAGCAUAACAUUACAUAUAAAAAACAAAACAACCACAAAAAAAGAGGUUAUAAUCUAUGCACGUAACCGCUACGACAACUAUAAUUCACUUACUGCAGAUAUUUAACAUUAUGAUCCCAUAAAUUUCACAUUACAUGAACACACCAUAAUAAUUAGUAGUUCUAAAAACCAAACCCUAUAAAAUUAUAAGAAUACUUACCCAAGAUUACAUACAAAUGAUUUAAUUUUAUCAAUUGAACUGAAGAAUUUUAUAGGUUUAACUUUAGAUAAUUGUUAUGCACAUUUGUCCAUCUGAAAUAACGUUGGUCACAUAUUAUUCCACUAUUAAUAGGCAUAGUAGCACAUUUAAAUUGCAACAAAACAUAAUGCAGAUAACAAAUAAAAUAUAUAUGACAAAAGUACCAAAAAAAUACAAUUGUUAAAUAUGACCCCUUCUUCUCCCUAAAUUAAAUACCCUCCCUCAAAAAAGAUAAAACCAGUAAAAUUAUUUAAAAAGAAAAAUCUCAUACAAAGUUCAAAAAAAAAAAAGAAAAAUCUCAUACACAUUUGAUCAAUACAAUCUGGCUACAAUACUGAGAAUGCCCUCAUAUUAUUUCUUCGUUUCAUUUUUUUUCCUCCGCAGUCUAUUGGGUCUGACUCUUUAUUUUGUCCGAACGUUUGGCAUUAUUGAGCCCUUACCGAUAUAGAGCGUGGUAUAGUUUAUUCGAAACGCUGUGUGUCUUUUAUUUUUCUCCCGACUUUAGGGUUUCCAUCGAUUCACUCAUCUUCUUCCUCCUGACCCUGCAAGCAAUCGGCGCCGCAGAGAAUCUAGGAUUUCCAGCGAUCUAUUCAUCUUCUUCCUACUGAUCCAGUGGUCAAUCGGUUACGGAUCCACUACUAUUAAAUUCCUUAUUAAAUCAACCGUAUACGAUCUCUCUUCAAUGCCACUUUUGCUCUUCAAAGGCGGUUGAGGUUUGACUAUAAAAGUCCGAAAGAUGUUCUUCCACAGUUGAGGUUAGGUUAUUGUGUUUCUAGGUGGCGAGGAAUAUCAGGCGCUGGGAUGAACUGAUGUAUGUCGGUAUGCUCUUGCUUGAUUCGAAUGGAUGUGUAUGUGACUUUUAGUUUGAGUGCGUGGUGUUCCAAGGGUUGUUAUUGCGACAAGCUUAAAUCCCUAAAAUAUUCGGAGGUAUUUAGUUAUUAUUUAAAUUUAAAGAAUGUCUUAUCUGUUUCUAACAAGAGCUCCGGUGUUUGUUAGUACCUUUGUCGAACUUUUUCAUGCAGGCCGUUUGUUCCUUAAUGCAACUUCAGGAACACACAUUUAUUUCGAUAAGGAGACUAAUGUUAGGAGAGGUCCUCUUCUACAAACACUGGGCUUCAGUCAGUAGCUCCGCUUCUGAAAGGAUAUGCCACGGUUGAGAAUCUGACCAUAUCCGAGCUUAAUGAGUUUGUCAUAGCUGCACUGUCUCAGGACAUCGAUUUCAUGUGUUCUGGGAAAGUGACUGAUAUUAAGAUGGACAAAGGGUGGUGUUAUAUUGCUUGCUCUAAGUGCACUAAAAAACUGCUAUGCACAGACUCAGCCUUGACAUGUGUGCACUGCGACAAUACACAUGCUGUUGGUGCCCUCUGAUAUCGAGUAGAGAUGGGCAUAGCUGAUGAUAGUGCUGAGGGAGUAUUCGUUUGUUUUGAUGGGGUGAUGACAAAGCUCCAUAACCUAAAAGCACAUGACGCUGGUCAUAUGUUGGCUAGGGCAGGUGUCAAUCCUGAGGAUACUCAGGUCCCCCUUUUAUUUUGGACAUGGAAGGAAAGACGUUCACCUUUCAAGUCCGGGUUAGUGCAUACAAUUUCACGGCAAAUUAUCAGACCUUCACCAUCACACACAUUCUCAACGUGCACCGCUCCCUGAUUUCGUUGAUAAUGGAGGGAACGAGAAGAAUGGGGAUGACAUGCCGAGUGACAAUACAGUUCGUGCUAAGAUUGAAACUGGGGGUAGCACCCCGAAUGGUGAAGAACCAAAGAGGCCUUCAGCUAAAGCAGCUUUCAAGAUGGUCAAGAAGGCACGUCUGGCUUAAUGCUUUGGCAUCAGAUUUACUCUCUUUCAAUAAUGAUUAGACAUCGAUGCUGUUUUAAAAAUUUAAGAUGUGGUGUCUGCUUCUGGUUUCUUAAACUUUCUGAACAAUCUGCGUUUUAUGGAAUUAAGUUUCAAAUUA